GACGUGACUUCAGAGUUUGAUCCUGGCUCAGGAUGAACGCUGGCGGCGUGCCUAACACAUGCAAGUCGAGCGAUCUUCUUCGGAAGAGAGCGGCGGACGGGUGAGUAACGCGUGGGUAACCUGCCCUGUACACACGGAUAACAUACCGAAAGGUAUGCUAAUACGAGAUAAUAUACUUUUAUCGCAUGGUAGAAGUAUCAAAGCUCCGGCGGUACAGGAUGGACCCGCGUCUGAUUAGCUAGUUGGUGAGGUAACGGCUCACCAAGGCGACGAUCAGUAGCCGACCUGAGAGGGUGAUCGGCCACAUUGGAACUGAGACACGGUCCAA
Molecule: ribosomal RNA, 328 nt
Filed under: uncultured bacterium
Lineage: Bacteria
Description: bacterial SSU rRNA
Rfam family: Bacterial small subunit ribosomal RNA
Source: RNAcentral